Molecule: small nuclear RNA, 162 nt
Organism: Coregonus clupeaformis (lake whitefish)
Lineage: Eukaryota; Metazoa; Chordata; Actinopteri; Salmoniformes; Salmonidae
Product: U1 spliceosomal RNA
Exons: 1
Source: RefSeq, a predicted model, not a curated record
AUAUUUACCUGGCAGGGGAGACAUCUUGGUCACGAAAGAGGUUCACCCAGGACGAAGCUCGGCCAUUGCACUCCGGCCGUGCUGACCCCAUGCGAAUUCCCCAAAUGUGGGAAUCUUGACUCCAUAAGUUGUGGUAGUGGGGAACUGUGUCGUGGUCUCCAC